RNAcentral lists this long non-coding RNA (678 nucleotides) under Triticum aestivum (bread wheat). RNAcentral's name for it is "long non-coding RNA (TAES_LNC024450)". The record is from RNAcentral. Lineage: Eukaryota; Viridiplantae; Streptophyta; Magnoliopsida; Poales; Poaceae.
UUGUAUCUAAUAUUCCUUAAUUUUAUCCUCAGGUUUCUUAAAACUAAGGUGCUGGUGCUCUAAUCAACCAGGAGGCUCAUGGUGGUAGCUUAGUAUGCUGGGGGGAAAUCUGGAGAAGCCUGUGUUUUUGGAGUGCUGAUCAACUCACUGUAUCUUGGAUCGUAGGAAAUGUGGUACUUUUGUUAGACUUUCAGUUCGCUCUCCAGUAUCUGCUGUAGACACCAGUAAGAUAGUUCAUUCGUCGCAAAACUGGUGCUUCUGCAAUGUUUACUCUGAUGAGAAACCUUAUUUAGGGACCUCUGCUUCUGCCAUAGGUGCUGAACUGACUAUUUGAAGGAACGGUUCAGUAUUCGCUGCCCUAAGCUAAUAUGUAUAAUUUUGUGCCAAUCGGUCGUGCAUUGAACUUGUUAAGUGAGAAGGAUGAAAUGAGGUUGCUUUUUGUGCCCUGAUGGCUCUUAAUUCAGCAGGAUGAAAUGAGUAUGUGAAGUGCACAUCUUACCAUGCGUAUGUACUGUGCUACACUUUUGCUGUAUUCGUUUUUUUCUUAAUAAUUGUUACUUAUUUUGCUACACUUUUGCAGUUUUGCUGUAUUCGUUUUUUUUAAUAAUUGUUAGCUAUUUUGCUACACUUUUGCUGUAUUCGCUUUUUGUCUUAAUAACUGUUACUUAUUAAAAAAAA